Molecule: ribosomal RNA, 609 nt
Filed under: uncultured bacterium
Lineage: Bacteria
Description: bacterial SSU rRNA
Rfam family: Bacterial small subunit ribosomal RNA
Source: RNAcentral
AUUAGCUAGUAGGUGAGGUAAAGGCUCACCUAGGCGACGAUCCCUAGCUGGUCUGAGAGGAUGAUCAGCCACACUGGGACUCUUACACGGCCCAGACUCCUACGGGAGGCAGCAGUGGGGAAGAUUGCACAAUGGGGGAAACCCUGAUGCAGCCAUGCCGCUUGUGUGAAGAAGGCCUUCGGGUUGUAAACGGCUAACUCCGUGCCAGCAGCCGCGGUAAUACGGAGGUUGCGACGUUAAUCGGAAUUACUGGGCCGAAAGCGUGCGCAGGCGGUUUGUUAUUCGAGAUGUAAAGCCCCGGGCUCAACCUGGGAACCGCAUUUCGAACUGGCAAACUAGAGUCUUGUAGAGGGGGGUAGAAUUCCAGGUGUAGCGGCCCAAUGCGUAGAGAUCCGGGGAAUACCGGUGGCGAAGGCGGCCCCCUGGACAAAGACUGACGCUCAGGCACGAAAGCGUGGGGAGCAAACAGGCGUAGAUACCCUGGUAGUCCACCGUAAACGAUGUCUACUCGGAGUCGGGUGUCUUGAACACUGGGCUCUCAAASUAACGCAUUAAGUAGACCGCCUGGGGAGUACGGCCGCAAGGUUAAAACUCAAAUGAAUUGACGGG